Molecule: ribosomal RNA, 292 nt
Filed under: uncultured bacterium
Lineage: Bacteria
Description: partial 16S ribosomal RNA
Source: RNAcentral
GGACUACCGGGGUAUCUAAUCCUGUUUGCUACCCACGCUUUCGCGUCUCAGCGUCAGUUACCGUCCAGAUGGCCGCCUUCGCCACAGGUGUUCCUCCCGAUAUCUACGAAUUUCACCUCUACACCGGGAAUUCCGCCAUCCCCUCCGGCACUCAAGCGACGCAGUAUCGGAUGCACUUCCUUGGUUAAGCCAAGGGCUUUCACGUCCGACUUACGCCGCAGCCUACACGCGCUUUACGCCCAGUAAUUCCGAACAACGCUUGCACCCUCUGUAUUACCGCGGCUGCUGGCAC